RNAcentral lists this unclassified non-coding RNA (231 nucleotides) under Sporoschisma hemipsilum. RNAcentral's name for it is "partial internal transcribed spacer region". The stretch from base 1 to 47 matches the Rfam family "Eukaryotic small subunit ribosomal RNA", at positions 1785 to 1831 of the family's 1831-position model. The record is from RNAcentral. Lineage: Eukaryota; Fungi; Ascomycota; Sordariomycetes; Chaetosphaeriales; Chaetosphaeriaceae.
AAAGUCGUAACAAGGUCUCCGUUGGUGAACCAGCGGAGGGAUCAUUACUGGACUCGAAAGACUCCUAAACCCUGUGAACCUUCUGAAAGACACGUUGCCUCGGCGGCGUCCUCGCCCUCCGAAAGGGGGAGCGGGACGCGCCGCCAGCGGCACAACUACCCUGCAUCGCGCGUUGGCAUCUCGAGGACGAGGAAGCAAUCAAAACUUUCAACAACGGAUCUCUUGGCUCUG